UGCACAACCACAUCAUCCCACCGUCCCAAAGAAGAAGAAAAAUUCUUAGGAUCAUUAAACUACUUCGAAAAAACAUCAGAUUUAACCAACAUUUUGUAGCUUCUCGAAUUACCUUCUUCUUAAUUACAUCCUUAAUUUUAUAUUAUAAAUCAUUUUGAUUUAUUUAAAGUUUAACUAAAUGUAUAGAAAUACAUUGCAACAUCUGUUAUACCAAAUUAAUUUAUUAAACCUAGUGUUGAAUAUAUUUUGCUAAUAUAUAUUUUUUUAUUUUGAAAUAUUUGACCAAACAUAUAGAAAUCGACUUGUAGAAAAAAAAAAUCAAAGCUAAUUAUAAUAAAAAAUGGAGCAGUUCGAUGCAUACAUAAUGACUGAUUUUGUUGUAGGCUACUAACAUUCUGUUUGAAUUAAAAUUUCGUUCGAUAUUCUUUAAUUCGAACUGGAGACGGCACCCAACAUCAUACACAGACAAUUAAUUACAAAUGUGCAUCCUUACCACAAUUCCAACAGAAAAAAUUGAAGGGAGCAUAACAAAGUUGGGUAAUCUGAAAACCUAACAAAUUAAGUUCUUCUUGCUUGAGAAACACUCAGGGGUCUCCACAGGGUGGUGGGCUAGACGACCUGGAUUCGAAGCCUCACCCCUUAUAAUUAUUUGAUAUUAGAUGUUUCUCUAAUAUUCGUGUCUUUUUUUAGUUCUUCUCGCUAAACACAACUACAUGUACAUAUUAAACCGGAUUAAUACCUAUAUAAAAUCAGAUCGUGAAACACACAACUACAUGUAUCAGUCACCAUAACUCUCUCUCUCUCUAUCUCUCUCUCUAUUUAAACAUAUAAAGUGCUUAAACAAUACUAGUACUACAUGGAACUAUACCGUAAUACUACAAAUUCAGCACAUAAAACUCCCAUCGUUUUCUUCAUAAGCUAGCUUACAAGUCAUUGUCAAAAUUUAAAUUUUAAAAACUUAAUUUUUGAAGUUGAUUCCGAAGUUAUUUUGUUAUAAUUUAUUUUUCAGCAUUUGACUUUAAAUCACUAACAAUGUAUAUAUAAAAAAAGUUUUUACCUACAAAUAUAUUUUUUUCUGAUAAGCUGUACGAUUUAUAAUCGGCAGUAAGCCAAUUGAUAGCGGAAGAACAUUCUCAUGCAUGGUCUAAUUCACCAAUAUUCACCUAAUAUCUCUCGGAGGCCUAACCUGAACAAUAAAAGUGGGUAGCAGUAGGUAAUCCUACAAUCAGAAGUCAAACCUGUGGGUUCCUACCAAUUAAAAUGUGGCGGCCAAUUUACCGUAAUAGUUGUACAGUGCAGCUACAUCAGAAAGGUGAGAGGAGACCCUCUUGUAGUUGUUGUAGCACAGGCAGAAAGCUGCCCAUUCAACCAUAGCUACCACAAGGACAGGGAACUGGCCUCUGAUCAUUGCCCUGGGUAUCGUGCUAAUCACAGACAUGUUUGGGACGCUUUUCACUGUGGCUAGCCGUACCAUGCAUAUUCACUUCUAUUGUAGUUGGAUGCUCAUCAGUCAUCAGUUACCACCAGUGGUUAGCAGAAUUGGUCUCACAUAGCGGCGAAACCAGAAAUUAAAAUUAAGGACUGAGUAGGGCUUAACUAAUAUAAUAUUAAUUUUCUUAAAAAUUACAUGAUAAAUUAAGAGAAUUUAAGUAUGAUUAUGAAGGCAAGCCUAGGUCUCAAGCCCAAACUAGCUACCCUAGGCUUGCCACCGCUUCAGUCUCAAAGGCAACAUACCACUAAACGUAAUUCUAAAGGGUUGAAUGGACAAAUGGAUAAUGUGUUAUUCAAUUUUUUAUAAUACUUUAUACAAAUGAAUGUAUUAAUAUCCAGCUUUAAAAGUUGUUCCAGAAAAAUAUUGUAAGCAAUUCAUAUAAUAGGGUUUUGUAAAAAAAAUAACAUUUAGAGGUUUAGAAAAUAUGCCCACGAUAUACGUAGAAGGAAAAAUUACGAAACUUUAUUGAUAAGUUCUAAACACUUGGUUUCAAAACAUAGUAGUAUUAAGUAUGUAUAUAAUUGUUUUUAAAAAGUUUUCUUUAGAAUUGUAUAAACCUAUUGCAGUUUAUAAACUUAAACCUAUUUUUAGUAAACAAUUAAUAUAGGUUUACUUAAAUGCCGUGGUAAUGGCUGAGAAUUAGCUCGCCACGUCAUCAAAUUUUUCGGAAACACCCCUCACCUCUGGCUAAUCACGUUCUGGAGAACUAGGUGCGCCACUCCAUUGUUUUUUUUUGCUAAGAAAACCCCCCACUUCCUGUUAAUCGUGCGUCGGCUCCCGCCGCUAUCGUCCGUUCGAUCACGUGCGAGGGACGAUCUGGCCGUCCACGUGUCCCAGCGUGGCUGCUCUUCCACCAUCAUGAGAUCGUUGGAUCAGGAACGGAUGGCCUGGAUUUGCCAAGAACCCUAGCCACCAAACAAAACCCUAGCUCCAGCCCAUUCCGCCGCCCUGUAGCUCUCUUCGCCGCCCUCUCUGCUGCCUCUGCCCGGCGAGGGGCGGCGCGAUGAAGCGCACGAUGGACGCGCGGUGGGCGCACAUCGUGUACGCGCUGCUGGUGCCGGAGGCAUUCUUCCGCGACCCCAACGGCCGCGACGGCGUCGCCUCUCGCUCUCUCCGCCGCCCUCUCGCUCUCUCCGUGGCCACGCUGCUGCCUCUGCCCGGCGAGGGGCGGCACUGUGAAGCGCACGACGAACGCGCGGUGGGCGCACAUCGUGUGCGCGCUGCUGGUGUCGGAGGUGUUCUUCCGCGACCCCGACGACCGUGACGGCGUCAACUGCUUGAGCUAUCUCGCUCUCUUCGCUGCCCUCUCGCUCUCUCCGCCAGCGUCGCCGCCACGUCAUCUUCACCGUUGUCACCACCUCCCUCUAUUCUGCCGGCUCUCCCUAUUUCACCUCCGUUGCCGUCUCCUUUGGUGUCACCGUCGCCGCCGCCGCCGCUUGCCUCAUGUGGGUAGGUGUCGUCGCCUCACGAUCCUUCACCAGUCGUCGCCACGACGAGAUCGUUCUUCCCUCCUAUUCAGCCGCCACAUCUCCCAGCGAGGAGCCCGGGACCACCAGGUCUAGCGACCCCGUCCUCCUCACAGGCGGAUCCAGAAACCCGAAUGAGGAUGACAGCCGUUACCACCCUUUUCUCCUCUUUCAUCUUCGCAUGUUAGAGGAUCCCUCUCCAUCUUCCUCAGCUCGCCGGCAUGGGAGUCACACAUGAUAAGAGGUUUCACGGGAGUCGGCAGCGACCACUGCUUCUGUGAGAGGACCGAAGAAAAAUAGCCGUUGUUGAGAAGAUUUAACACGGGGUCUUAUUCCAAGAGAUCGUUGCCAAUGAGCGUGCUAUUAAACUGGAGUACUCAAAGUAAGUUUAAUAAGCCUCCAGUUUUAUUUUUUCCUAUCUAUGCGUAUGAUGUAGCAAUGUUUCAUUUGGCCUAAAUAAAGAUAAGGUAGACAGUGAUCCAGUUGGACAUGGAUAAUAGAAAAUCAAGCUUAAUUAGUUACAAUCACAUAAGCUUAGCCAAAAAGUUGUGGUUAUUUGAUUGAAUCAAUUAAUUGACCAAACUAAGGCUUAUAAGGAGCACAUCAACCACAGAUACUAUAGCUUAAUUUUAGUAUAGCAGGACCCACAACUCACCUGUACCAUACCAUUUAGAUAUGUCGGUUAUCCUAAAUAUAAAAUGUAUCCUAAAUAUAAAAUGAGGUCUUAAUUCCUUUAUUAUGUGCAACAGCUAUUUGAUUCAACAAUGCUUCCAUUUGAUCACAACCAAUUGAAGUAGCUUAUGUGGAUAUUUCCUAAGGCACAGAAUCCUAAUGUUAGUGUUUGAAGAGGAAAAAACCAAUUUAACUCUUUACCAACCGAAAUUAGUAAAGGCAACUAGUAUGGUCACUCUACAAAAAGUCAAUUCUUUUUAUUGCAUUUCACAAUUCAACUACACCUAAAAUAGCUGAGCCAACCAUUUACAUAAUUACCCAUCCAUAUUAUCGAUUAAUGUUAGAUUUAGUUGAUUUCAACUUACAAAGGAUGAAUUUAUCAUUUGGUAAUAAUUAGUUCUUGGGCGAAGUUCCCAAACAACCGGUGUAAUCGGGUUCUAUUCUUUCCUGUUCACGUUCUCAUAAGGUGGUUACACCAUUAUGCCAUGUUAUGCCUCCAUGCUAUGCAUCUUCCUGGUACGUGGAUCAACUAAAACAACUAUUGGUGCAGUUCCUACAUUUGAUUUAAUCUUUGUAUAAAUAGCUUGAUGAGCAUAUCCAAUGGGUUUUUUGUUGGAUGUUAACUCGCACAAAAGAAGAAUUAUAUUUAUUCACUGACGGACUGGUUGCUCUGUUGAGUUCCCUCUCUUUUGUUGACUAUAUUGCUAUCUGGUGCCUUUUUUAGUAGGUCUAUAUUUUCUUUGCUUACACAGUAAACCCUGCACCGCACUUAUCUAUCCCUUCUUCCUAUUGACAAUAUCCUUGAUCUAAUUGGGGUUGUCGAUGAUAUAUUUGUGUACUGAAUGGUAUGGCAGAUCAUGAUUUGAUAAAUGAUGCUGGCACAAUGAAAAGGAUAAUAGAGCUAAACCUUUUGGUUCUUACGGUGCCCUGGUCAUGGCUAAAUAAGGGAGUUGGACACACAUGUUCAUUCUGCCUAUUCUAACACCAAUGUAAUUGGAAAUCGACUUUGAUUUAAUACAUCUAUGUGCAUAAAUAUAUUAUAUACAUGAUUUUUUAUUCUGCUUAAGCUAUUAUUGAACGUCAAAGUAAACAUGCCUAUAGCUAUUAACAAUGUUGUUCCUACAGAUUCAAAUUCAUCGUCUGCCAGGCACAGUGUAGUGCGCCUUUAUUUCUAGUUAUGUUCAAAGCUGAACGCAGCUGACCAUAAGAAGUACCAAUCUUCAUAUAUUUUUUCGACUGGAGGGAGUAAAAACUUCUCCUAUCUUAGUUUCAAGACUUUCAAGUUGUUGGUCUAGAUCAAUGCCCGAUGUUUUCUUCAUAGUCUUCAAAACAAAAUAGUCUUUCUUCACUGAAUGGUACUUCCUCCGUUUCAUAUUAUAAGUCGUUCUAGCAUUUCACACAUUCAUAUUGAAGUUAAUAAAUUUAGACAUAUAUAUCUAUCUAGAUUCAUUAACAUUAAUAUGAAUAUGAGAAAUGCUAGAAUAACUUACAUUUAUGAAACAGAGGAAGUAUAUUAAGCUCCUGUUCAUGAAUUUAAAUGGUAUAUAUCCUAUAGGACAAUGGUAUAUAUCCUAUAGGACAAUGGACACCCUGAUUGGGGAGUACAAUAAUGGUACUAUAGCCGGUAAUUAAGGUAAUGUGAUGUGAUGUGUUAUGCAGUGAUGGAUCCUCUGCUGCUACAGUGAGUGUGUACAGUAUUAUGAGUUAGCUAACUCAUGAUAGGACAAAUCGUUCAAAUCAAUCGCUACAGUAACAAUACAAUAAUGCCCAUUUCAUUUCACUUAGAAAUGAAAACCUACCUAAAUUUUGGCACUACUAAUAUUUUAACCAUGAAUAUGCAUAUAUAGCAAAUUUUGGUAACAAACGAAACGUUGCAAAAUCACUGUUUAAAAUGCCAUCAAUUCGAUUGUGUAAAAUUUGGCUCUAAAGCAAAACAACCCUAGGUACGACUAUAAUGAGAAUGCAUGAGGAUUCACCAAAAUAUAUUUUGUACUGCAAUUUCCAUUCCUUGAGCCUAAAACCUCCAAAAGUGUUGCAAUCGCCGUAGAGCAGCCAGGCAACAACACCAAGCCAGUAGUCUAGUACUAGUAAAAUGCAAAAGAAUUGGAAGCAAAAGAAAUGCACUACUCGUAGUACUUUUCUUCUCUCUUGGGUGUGACGAAUAACUUGCCGUAGUGCCUUUUUCUCUGCAACUUUCUGCACCCAAAGAGCAACUUUUUUUAGGUUCUAGAGCUGCACUGCGCGAGUGUUGCCUGCAGUGACCACAGCAGAGCAGCGUAGCUGCGUAGCGUUUCAGGCUUAAAAAGGGCCUUUUGGCUUCCCCUGUCUAAAGGUCAGCCAGACAGAGGUCGCAAGGCACCUUUUCCCCCUCGGUUGGUUGAGCCUUUUGUGUUGAGCCCCAUUUUUUUCUCUCUUUUGUCUCUGUCGGUUAUGUGCCAAGCUGAUGAGCAUUUGGCAUGAGCUGCUAUAGUUGAUUA
Molecule: non-coding RNA, 6107 nt
Organism: Oryza sativa Japonica Group (Japanese rice)
Lineage: Eukaryota; Viridiplantae; Streptophyta; Magnoliopsida; Poales; Poaceae
Source: RefSeq, a predicted model, not a curated record